GGUGUGCUUCUGUGUAACUGGUUUGGUAACAGCAGAUCGACUGUACUACUAAAAGACAUCGUUCAAGCAGCAAGACAUCCCUCUAUCUGGCGACAAAAACAUCCCUUUUCUGAGGAGAAAGAAGAAGACUCUCGCGCCAUGGUCUGACUGCUGAUCAAAGCCAGCAUCUGGACGGUGAGGAAGAUUCGGGCCCACAUUGCUGAGGGAGAGCAAGAGGAGAAGCCCAUCUUCACACCAUGUGGUGUUAUUGGUAAGAACAGUAAUUCCAUAGAUAUGCAAAAAUGCUGAUUGUUACCAACUUAUUUACAAUUCUAUGUAAGAACACUUGCGUUACCUAACAAUGCCGUAGAAAAGGGUGCGUUCGUAAAUUGCCUCCAGUGUGUCAGACUGCACUUUGGGUUGUUCGUAAAUUCAGAGCACUCACUGAACGCUCUGGUCGAGAAGGGUUCAUCCGAGCAUUCUGACCAGGCAACGGCAGUCAAGCACCCACGUUAACUGGCUAAAGUUGGCUAGCUUGUCAGCUACUUCCAGACACAAAUGACAGAACACCUCACUGACCAUUUUACUCACCAUGACAGAGCUGGUUAGGCUGUUGUGUUAUCUGGUGCGUUAGUGAGUAGCUGUGUUGUUGGCAACAAUUGAAUAACUUUUUUUUGCCGACGUUUGACACCGGUCAUAUUCAAUGGGUGUUGCGUGUUCGUAAAUUCAUCAGUUAAUUUGCUCUCUGGCACACAGACGAGAGUGCUCUACAAUUGGAGUAGAUGGCUAGAGUGAAUUUACGAACGCACCCAAAUAUGCGCCGUCGAAAAACCGCUCCACCUUUUCCUGUUUGCUAAAAUUCUAAUUGUUCGCCUUUCAGUUUGUGAUAAAACAAAAAUUAUAGUUUAGAGAAUCAUUAUACCAUUCUAAACCACUGAAAUAUAUUUUCCAUAACCAGAAAUGUCUUUUCAGCUGGUGUACAAAACCGAAAGGAAGAUGCAAAAACACAACUUAAGAACAGGAAGUAUACAAAUAACCUGUUAUGGCUAGGAGUUCCUCAAUAUCUGAAAUGGCAGAGCGUGAAAUUCAUUUCAUUUUUUAAAAAUAUUUAACUUUCAUAUAUUCACAAGUGCAAUACACCAAAUUAAAGCUUAACUUCUUGUUAAUCUAGCCAUCGUGUCCGAUUUCAAAAAGGCUUUACAGCGAAAGCACACCAUAUGAUUAUGUUAGGUCAGCGCCUAGUCACAGAAAAACAUACAGACAUUUUCCAGCCAAAGAGAGGAGUCACAAAAAGCAGAAAUAGAGAGAAAAUUAAUCACUAACCUUUGAUGAUCUUAAUCAGAUGGCACUCAUAGGACUUCAUGUUACACAAUACAUGUAUGUUUUGUUCGAUAAAGUUCAUAUUUAUAUCCAAAAAUCUCAGUUUACAUUGGUGCGUUAUGUUCAGUAAUGUUGUGCCUCAAACAUCUGGCGAAUUUGCAGAGAGCAACAUCAAUUUACAGAAAUACUCAUCAUAAUCUUUGAUAAAAGAUACAAGUGUUAUGCAUAGAAUUAAAGAUACUUCUCCUUAAUGCAACCGCUGUGUCAGAUUUCAAAAAAGCUUUACGGAAAAAGCACACCAUGCAAUAAUCUGAGUACAGCGCUCAGCCACCAAAACAAGCCAUACAGAUACCCGCCAUGUUGUGGAGUCAGUAAAAGUCAGAAAUAGCGUUAUAAAUAUUCACUUACCUUUGAUGAUCUUCAUCAGAAUGCACUCCCAGGCAUCCCAGUUCCACAAUAAAUGUUCGCUAAAGUUCAUCUUUAUGUCCAAAUACCUCCUUUUUGUUAGCGCGUUUAGUUCACCAAUCGAAAUUCACAAGGCGCGGGCAGGUCCAGACGAAAGUCCAGGCAAAAAGUAAAAAGUUCUAUUACAGUUCGUAGAAACAUGUCAAACGAUGUAUAGAAUCAAUCUUUAGGAUGUUUUUAUCAUAAAUCUUCAAUAAUAUUCCAACCGGACAAUUCAUUUGUCUUUAGAAAUGGAAAGGAACGCAGCUCGCUCUCAUGGCCACGCGUGACUUAGCUCAUGGCAUUCUGCCAGACACCUGGUUCAAACAGCUCUUAUUCUCUCCCCCUUCACACUAGAAGCCUGAAACAACUUUCUAAAGACUGUUGACAUCUAGUGGAAGCCUUAGGAAGUGCAAUCUGACCCCACAGACACUGUAUAUUGGAUAGGCAAUCACUUGAAAAACUACAAACCUCAGAUUUCCCACUUCCUGGUUGGAUCUUUCUCAGGUUUUCGCCUGCAAUAUGAGUUCUGUUUUACUCACAGACAUCAUUCAAACAGUUUUAGAAACUUCAGAGUGUUUCCAAAUCUACUGAUAAUAUGCAUAUAUUAGCUUCUGGGCCUGAGUAGCAGGCAGUUUACUCUGCUUUUCAUCCGAAUGUGAAAAUACUGCCCCCUAUCCCAAACAGGAUAACGCAUGGAUUUUUUUUAGGCGGCAUUAUAUGUCAUAUUACUUCAUAUAUGUCAUAUUACUUCAUAUGUCAUAUCACUCUGAAUUAGAAAACGUGUUUAUUAUAAACUCGGUGUCAGACUGAGUGACACAUUUUAAUAAAGAUCUACCCCUUAUACUUGCUUUCAAUGAGUACGGUUACAUGCACACAAUCUGGUUAUUGUGGAUAGUCAGAUUAAUAUCAUAGUUCGAUUAAAGUUUACAUGCUUUGCAAAAAUAAUGAUUUCCCCAAAAUAAACCUGUUUACAUGGACACAUCUAAAGUUUGGUGGCACCCUGAUGAAUGCAGAAAAUUGCCAAUCAAAAUAAACAUUCUACCACAGUGACCAUGUUAUUUUUGGGAAGCAUAUUUGAUUCUGAGUUCAGAGCGCUGAUUUAAGAUGUUUACAUGUCCUAAUAAUUCAAAAGAUUGUUCAGAAAACCAGGCGUACAGUUGAAGUCAGAAGUUUACAUACACCUUAGCCAAAUGCAUUUAAACUCAGUUUUUCACAAUACCUGACAUUUAAUCCUAGUAAAAAUUCCCUGUCUUAAGUCAGUUAGGAUCACCACUUUGUUUUAAGAAUGUGAAAUGUCCGAAUAAUAGUAGAGAAUGAUUUAAUUCAGCUUUUAUUUCUUUCAUCACAUUCCCAGUGGGUCAGAAGUUUACAUACUAAUUGAGUGUAUUUGGCAGCAUUGCCUUUAAAUUGUUUAACUUGGGUCAAACGUUUUGCGUAACCUUCCACAAGCUUCCCACAAUAAGUUGGGAGAAUUUUGGCCCAUUCCUCCUAACAGAGCUGGUGUAACUGAGUCAGGUUUGUAGGCCUCCUUGCUCGCACACACUUUUUCAGUUCAGCCCACAAAUGUUCUAUAGGAUUGAGGUCAGGGCUUUGUGAUGGCCACUCCAAUACCUUGACUUUGUUGUCCUUAAGCCAUUUUGCCACAUCUUUGGAAGUAUGCUUGGGGUCAUUGUCCGUUUGGAAGACCCAUUUGCGACCAAGCUUUAACUUAUGUCUUCAGAUGUUGCUUCAAUAUAUCCAUAUCAUUUUCAUUCCUCAUGAUGCCAUCUAUUUUGUGAAGUGCACCAGUCUCUCCUGCAGCAAAGCACCCCCACAACAUGAUGCUGCCACCCCUGUGCUUCACGGUUGGGAUGGUGUUCUUCGGCUUGCAAGCAUCCCCCUUUUUCCUCCAAACAUAACGAUGGUCAUUAUGACCAAACAGUUCUAUUAUUGUUUCAUCAGACCAGAGGACAUUUCUCCAAAAAGUACGAUCUUUGUCCCCAUGUGCAGUUGCAAACCGUAGUCUGGCUUUUUUAUGACGGUUUUGGAGCAGUGGCUUCUUCCUUGCUGAGUGGCAUUUCAGGUUAUGUAGGACUUGUUUUACUGUGGAUUCCUCCAGCAUCUUCACAAGGUCCUUUGCUGCUGUUCUGGGAUUGAUUUGCACUUUUUGCACCAAAGUACGAUCAUCUCUAGGUGACAGAACGCGUCUCCUUCCUGAGCGGUAUAACGGCUGCAUCGUCCCAUGGUGUUUAUACAUGCGUACUAAUGUUUGUACAGAGUAACGUGGUACCUUCAGGCGUUUGGAAAUUGCUCCCAAGGGUGAACAUGACUUGUGGAGGUCUACACAUUUUUUUCUGAGGUCUUGGCUGAUUUCUUUUGAUUUUCCCAUGAUGUCAAGCAAAGAGGCACUGAGUUUGAAGGUAGGCCUUGAAAUACAUCCACAGGUACACCUCCAAUUGACUCAAAUGAUGUCAAUUAGCGUAUCAGAAGCUUCUAAAGCCAUGACAUAAUUUUCUUGAAUUUUCCAAGCUUUUUAAAGGCACAGUCAACUUAGUGUAUGUAAACUUCUGAC
This 4297-nucleotide long non-coding RNA is filed under the name Salmo salar (Atlantic salmon). RNAcentral describes it as "lncRNA (ENSSSAG00000099571.1)". The record is from RNAcentral. Lineage: Eukaryota; Metazoa; Chordata; Actinopteri; Salmoniformes; Salmonidae.